RNAcentral lists this unclassified non-coding RNA (334 nucleotides) under soil metagenome. Its description in RNAcentral is "partial contains 5.8S ribosomal RNA, internal transcribed spacer 2, and large subunit ribosomal RNA". The stretch from base 1 to 120 matches the Rfam family "5.8S ribosomal RNA", at positions 35 to 154 of the family's 154-position model. The record is from RNAcentral.
GAUGAAGAACGCAGCGAAAUGCAAUAAGUAAUGUGAAUUGCAGAAUUCAGUGAAUCAUCGAAUCUUUGAACGCACAUUGCGCCCGCCAGUAUUCUGGCGGGCAUGCCUGUUCGAGCGUCAUUUCAACCAUCAAGCCCCAGGCUUGUGUUGGAGCCCUGCGGCUGCCGCAGCCUCCCAAAACCAGUGGCGGGCUCGCUAUCACACCGAGUGCAGUAGUUUACUCUUCGCUCAGGGCGUGUGGCGGGUGCUAGCCGUAAAACCCCCAACUUCUCAAGGUUGACCUCGGAUCAGGUAGGAAUACCCGCUGAACUUAAGCAUAUCAAUAAGCGGAGGA